UCCGGGGUCAUCUAAUGGUAGGAUAAUGGACUCUGAAUCCAUUUAUCUUGGUUCGAAUCCAAGCCCCGGAG
RNAcentral lists this transfer RNA (71 nucleotides) under Candidatus Nealsoniibacteriota bacterium. Its description in RNAcentral is "Candidatus Nealsonbacteria bacterium tRNA-Gln". It matches the Rfam family "tRNA". From Rfam's summary of the family: Transfer RNA (tRNA) molecules are approximately 80 nucleotides in length. Their secondary structure includes four short double-helical elements and three loops (D, anti-codon, and T loops). Lineage: Bacteria; Candidatus Nealsoniibacteriota. The record is from RNAcentral.